This 396-nucleotide ribosomal RNA is filed under the name uncultured bacterium. Its description in RNAcentral is "partial 16S ribosomal RNA". It matches the Rfam family "Bacterial small subunit ribosomal RNA", at positions 523 to 918 of the family's 1533-position model. The record is from RNAcentral.
AUACGAAGGGUGCAAGCGUUAAUCGGAAUUACUGGGUGUAAAGCGCGCGUAGGUGGUUUUGUAAGUUGGAGGUGAAAGCCCCGGGCUCAACCUGAGAAUUGCCUCCAAAACUGCAUGACUAGAGUACGGUAGAGGGUAGUGGAAUUUCCUGUGUAGCGGUGAAAUGCGUAGAUAUAGGAAGGAACACCAGUGGCGAAGGCGACUACCUGGACUGAUACCGACACUGAGGUGCGAAAGCGUGGGGAGCAAACAGGAUUAGAUCCCCUGGUAGUCCACGCCGUAAACGAUGUCAACUAGCCGUUGGGAUCCUUGAGAUCUUAGUGGCGCAGCUAACGCAUUAAGUUGACCGCCUGGGGAGUACGGCCGCAAGGUUAAAACUCAAAGGAAUCGACGGGG